AACUUUUAACAACGGAUCACUUGGUUCCCACAUCGAUGAAGAACGCAGCGAAAUGCGAUAGGUAAUGUGAAUUGCAGAAUUCCGUGAAUCAUCGAAUCUUUGAACGCACCUUGCACUCCUUGGUAUUCCGAGGAGUAUGCCUGUUUGAGUGUCAUGAAAAUUCAUCAACUGUUCUGAUGAUUCAAAUCAUCGGAAUGAGGUUGGAUUAUGGAGGUUUUUAAGUUGCUGGUCACUUUUGUAAUCAGCUCCUCUUGAAUAUAUAUAUUUGCUUGCCUACAAGCAACUAUUUAUCAACAUGAUAAACUUACUAUAAUAUGUUGAUGAAAGUUUGCUGCGCAAUAGUAAUGACAUUUGACCUCAAAUCAGGUAGGAUUACCUGCUGAACUUAAGCAUAUCAAUAAGCGGAGGCU
Molecule: unclassified non-coding RNA, 410 nt
Filed under: uncultured Agaricomycetes
Lineage: Eukaryota; Fungi; Basidiomycota; Agaricomycetes
Description: sequence contains ITS2
Rfam family: 5.8S ribosomal RNA (bases 1-154)
Source: RNAcentral